Long non-coding RNA from Olea europaea var. sylvestris, 994 nucleotides. RefSeq lists it as uncharacterized. NCBI's taxonomy places the organism in Eukaryota, Viridiplantae, Streptophyta, Magnoliopsida, Lamiales, Oleaceae. The record is from RefSeq and is a predicted model, not a curated record. The transcript is spliced from 3 exons.
UUUUUCUGACAUUUAAGUUUGUGUCGUCUCUUCCUUCCAAAUUCUUUCAUAGUUCUUAAACACACAAAUGAGUGAUCAAGAUUCAAGAACAACAGAAGAAACUCGAUCUGCCACCAAAUGAAAAAAAAAAAAAUAACUGCUGUUAGAUUUUUCAAAAUCAUCUGAAAUUUCUGAUAAAAUUUGAGUAGGAAGAUGAUAAGAAGGGAGAUUUGAUGCCAAUGGAGAAAUGCAGAAAGCAAAGAAAAAGGCGCUGUGCUCAACCACAUAGCAUGAAAGAGUAGAGACAAAGCAUCAAUACUAGAUGACACUAUAAAAUACAUAAAAGCCCUGCAAACUCAAGCUCAGGUAAAUUCAGUUUUUGCCUAUUUCUUUAUACUUUGGGAAAUUGUAAUGGAAUAAUCGUUGCCAUUUACGACUUGUACAUAUAAGUGGGCUCCAUUAUCCACAUCGAGCUUUGAAGUGGGCUCCAUUAUCUACAUCGAGCUUUUUGUCAAACUGAAAUCUACAUUGCUUGGGGUUAACUCACAAAGUGCACCAAGCAGCACUACUUGUGUAUUAUGUCCAGUUAUCUAACGUCCGACUACAAGAGUAUGAAGAAGACUGAUUUUGACGAAGAAGUCAAGUCAGUCGUGAAGUUAUGGACUACGCAUCAAGCAACUAUGAGUCUAUCGAAUGGUUGUCCUUUUGUCUUCGUUCUUCAUUGUUCUUUUACAUUUUCCUUUUCUUUUCCAUUUAACUUGCUUCAUAUCAUGAAAUUCUAAUGCAAGGGUAGCAGUACAAACACAAAGUCCAAUGACUCGGGUUUAUGAAACUCGAAGACGAUAGGUUUGUGACAAAACUCUUUAAGGUUUCAUUAUGUUUUAUGCAUUUUUAUAGCUCAUGUCAUGUCGUAUUUUCUCAUAGCUGGACUGAAGCUAAAACAAAUCUAGUCAUGUAAAUCUCAAUACACCAUUUCAAGAAUUGAAGUAAAAAUGGUUUUUUUAACAGUGUUGGA